RNAcentral lists this long non-coding RNA (219 nucleotides) under Solanum tuberosum (potato). RNAcentral's name for it is "long non-coding RNA (STUB_LNC002758)". The record is from RNAcentral. Lineage: Eukaryota; Viridiplantae; Streptophyta; Magnoliopsida; Solanales; Solanaceae.
ACCUUUUUAGUGACAAAACAUACUAUUAUCUACAAAAAAUAUACUUUUAACGACAAAUGAAUUUGUCACAAAUGUUUAAGCAUUUGGGGACGAUUUUUCUUUUUGUAGUUAAUAUAAUACUUUUAGCGACGAAGCACUAAAUCGUCUUUGUAUACUUUUAGAGACACACAUUUAGUGACGACUGAGUGACGAAUUAUUUUUCGUCUCACAAGAAUUUUA